This is a long non-coding RNA of Ziziphus jujuba (common jujube), 1119 nucleotides long. RefSeq lists it as uncharacterized. The transcript has 2 exons. Lineage: Eukaryota; Viridiplantae; Streptophyta; Magnoliopsida; Rosales; Rhamnaceae. The record is from RefSeq and is a predicted model, not a curated record.
UAUUGUUUUACGCUAAAUUUAAAAGUACGUUCGUCCUAUAUGAAGUACAUUGAUUACAAUUUUUUAUACACAAGCAAACAAAAUUGUCAAUGUUUUUGAAUUGUCUUCAAUUGUCAUAAAUAUGUAUAUAUUUUAGCCGUCUUUAAUUUCCAUUUUGUCCAAGUAAUCGAUGACGCGGUUUUAUUAUUCUACAGGCAAAGAGAACUUUCUGCUUCAUUAAUUGCUUUUCUACGUUUCUCAUAUUUUCCUUGCCCUUUCGUUAAUUAUUAGAAACUAUUCGUAAUUUCUCAAUAAAUUGGAUAUACAAAAACUAUUAAUUUUCUUCAAAUAAAAGAAACCCAUAAGCCUAAGCUUAAAAUAUGGAUAUAUACAACUUGCAAGGCUCAUCACCUCCGAAUUUCAGAUUAAAACUAAUUGAAGACUUUUCUCUCUUUCACGUGCCAAUAGAUUCAAAUAAAAAGAAAACUUUGAGACUUCUAUAUGCACGUAACUUCGGCUACGUAACCAAGUCAAAAAUGAUCGACCACAUAUAUAUGUAUACACACAUUGAUUCAUCUUAUCAUUAUAUUAUUUUCUAUCAAUACAACAUCACAAAAACAAAAGCUAGCAAGCAAAUUACAAUACAAAAGGAUGAGUUUAUGCCCAGGUGAAAAGACUACUUGGCCAGAGCUUUGGGGAAUAGAAGGGGAGGCUGCGGAGGCAAUAAUAAAGAGGGACAAUCCAAAUGUGGAUGUAAUAAGUCUACCAGUUGGAUCAAUCACCAUUCAUGAUUUCAACUGCAACAGGGUCUGGCUUUUUCUCGACUCUAAUGGCUUUGUCGCUACCAUUCCCAAACUUGGUUAAUUAGAUCAUCCACCAUCCAUCGCCACUACUUCAUCAUCAUCAUCCAUCGCCAACCAUCCAGUGCCUCGACCUACCAAUUAUACCCUCUUCUUACAUCAUUUGUUUCCUCUUUUAUUUUUUGGUGAAUUAGAUUAUUUGUUCUUUGUAUUUACAAAAAAAAUACAUCAUUUGUUUCCUCUUUUAUUUUUUGGUGAAUUAGAUUAUUUGUUCUUUGUAUUUACAAAAAAAAAAAAAAAGCAUACAAAAAUGUGUAAAAGAUAUAAGAUUUAUUCAUUA